CGGCGCGGGGCGGGGCCCGCCGGCGUCUUAAAGGGGCCGAGGCUGCCCGCGGACCUCUUGUUGGCCGCGGCUCCGCGUGGGUACUCAUCUUGCAGCUGCGUCCCUGUACCUCCAACGCGAGGAGGGCCCCCCCCAGACACGACGGCCCGGAGACGCCGCCCUGGGGUCGUGACCUUUAUGGCCCGCGGACUCCUCUCUCCACCCCAGCGCCAGGGCCCGUCCCACCCAUCUCCGACCCUGGCCGGGGGGGGAGGGAUCCGGAGGCUCAAGCCCACCCUUAACGGGGGCGGGCAGGGUCGGCCUGGAGGAGGGUCCUGGCGCGGCGAAUCCCCAGGCCGCCCCCGGUCGUCACCGCCCGUGGGUGACGGCGUUGUGAGCGACCCGGCAUCCCCAUCAGCGCGACGGCCCGGGUCAGUGGAGGCGCAAACCCCUGCAGGAAAGGAGCGUCGUGUGAACCGUGCCCGCUCACGCUCAGCUGCUGUUCAUUCCCUCGGGGGUUUUCUUGACAAAUUAUAUUAGGUAAUUUAUAGGGGCCGUGGCCACUGAUUACGAAUAACUCCCCCGCUGGGGACAACACCCUAAGUAGUGAGCACCCACUGCGUGACAGGCACUGUUGCACCUUUGUGCUUCGGUUUCUUAGCCUCGCAGCAACCCAGGAGGUGCUUUUUCUUUCCCCAGGUUACAGCCCGGGGACUGAGGCUCAGAAGAGGGGAGUGACCGAAACUUGACCGCAAAGACCUGUCAGGCUCCCUGGCUGACGCAUUUUCACUGUCACACGCCAGUGCUUAACGGGAAGCAGGGUCAGCAGCUGAGACCCAGGAGACAAGAGAAAGGUGUGACAGUCACAGAGGAGAAUGGGCUAUUGAGCAGGCCAGAGAGUCCGGAGCUGACUGCGGGGCAGCGUAAGAGCUGACGUGAGGAAAGGUGGAUCUUCAGACCCCAAAUCCAGUGCAUGACCCUGACCGUCACGCCCCCAGCCUCCACGCCAAGUGCCCAAGAAAAACCAACCACCGUUUGUCGAUUUACCAGAAAUACAUUCUCACUGAAGAAGACUUGGAACAUGCCUUUUUGUCUGUGCAUCUUUCUCAGAUAGCUGAAAUCCUGCUUCUAAUCCACUUUUAUAUCGUGUAUAUUUUAAAAAAUUUUUAGUAUUGCCAUUUCCAUUUAAAAGUGAGUAAAUAUGAUUUUCUUUUUAAAGAUUGGCACCUGA
Equus caballus (horse) is the source of this 1210-nucleotide non-coding RNA. NCBI's taxonomy places the organism in Eukaryota, Metazoa, Chordata, Mammalia, Perissodactyla, Equidae. The record is from RefSeq and is a predicted model, not a curated record.